This 72-nucleotide transfer RNA is filed under the name Penaeus monodon (black tiger shrimp). RNAcentral's name for it is "tRNA-Arg". It matches the Rfam family "tRNA". Rfam says of the family: Transfer RNA (tRNA) molecules are approximately 80 nucleotides in length. Their secondary structure includes four short double-helical elements and three loops (D, anti-codon, and T loops). Lineage: Eukaryota; Metazoa; Arthropoda; Malacostraca; Decapoda; Penaeidae. The record is from RNAcentral.
GCCUCUGUGGCCCAAUGGAUAAGGCAUUGGCCUCCUAAGCCAGGAUUGCGGGUUCGAGUCCCGCCAGAGGUU